UACGAAGGGGGCUAGCGUUGUUCGGAAUUACUGGGCGUAAAGCGUGCGCAGGCGGUGAUGUAAGACAGAUGUGAAAUCCCCGGGCUCAACCUGAGAACUGCAUUUGUGACUGCAUCGCUGGAGUGCGGCAGAGGGGGAUGGAAUUCCGCGUGUAGCAGUGAAAUGCGUAGAUAUGCGGAGGAACACCGAUGGCGAAGGCAAUCCCCUGGGCCUGCACUGACGCUCAUGCACGAAAGCGUGGGGAGCAAACAGG
Molecule: ribosomal RNA, 253 nt
Filed under: uncultured bacterium
Lineage: Bacteria
Description: partial 16S ribosomal RNA
Rfam family: Bacterial small subunit ribosomal RNA
Source: RNAcentral